UGAGGAAUAUUGGUCAAUGGGCGCGAGCCUGAACCAGCCAAGUAGCGUGAAGGAUGAAGGUCCUAUGGAUUGUAAACUUCUUUUAUAGCAGAAUAAAGUGACCCACGUGUGGGUUUUUGUAUGUAUGCUAUGAAUAAGGAUCGGCUAACUCCGUGCCAGCAGCCGCGGUAAUACGGAGGAUCCGAGCGUUAUCCGGAUUUAUUGGGUUUAAAGGGUGCGUAGGCGGAAAGAUAAUUCAGCCUGUGAAAGUUUGCGGCUCAACCGUAAAAUUGCAGUCGAUACUGUUUUUCUUGAGUGUACAUAAGGUAGGCGGAAUUCGUGGUGUAGCGGUGAAAUGCUUAGAUAUCACGAAGAACUCCGAUUACGAAGGCAGCUUACCGGGGUACAACUGACGCUGAUGCACGAAAGUGUGGGUA
Molecule: ribosomal RNA, 416 nt
Filed under: uncultured bacterium
Lineage: Bacteria
Description: bacterial SSU rRNA
Rfam family: Bacterial small subunit ribosomal RNA
Source: RNAcentral